RNAcentral lists this ribosomal RNA (253 nucleotides) under uncultured bacterium. RNAcentral's name for it is "partial 16S ribosomal RNA". It matches the Rfam family "Bacterial small subunit ribosomal RNA", at positions 524 to 776 of the family's 1533-position model. The record is from RNAcentral.
UACGUAGGUGACCAGCGUUGUCCGGAUUUACUGGGCGUAAAGAGCGCGCAGGCGGUCGUUCAAGUCGAGUGUGAAAGCCCCCGGCUCAACUGGGGAGGGUCAUUCGAUACUGAUCGACUCGAAGGCAGGAGAGGGAAGUGGAAUUCCCGGUGUAGUGGUGAAAUGCGUAGAUAUGUGGAGGAACACCAGUGGCGAAGGCGGCUUUCUGGUCUGUAACUGACGCUGAGGCGCGAAAGCGUGGGGAGCAAACAGG